This 497-nucleotide ribosomal RNA is filed under the name uncultured bacterium. Its description in RNAcentral is "partial 16S ribosomal RNA". It matches the Rfam family "Bacterial small subunit ribosomal RNA", at positions 28 to 507 of the family's 1533-position model. The record is from RNAcentral.
GAUGAACGCUGGCGGCGUGCUUAAUACAUGCAAGUCGAACGAUCAGGCGAGGAUUUUGUUGCUCGGACGUUAGCGGCGGACGUGUGAGUAACGUGAGGAAAACGUACCUAUCAUACUGGGAUAGCUUCGGAAAACCUGCUCUAACACGAGAUUAUAUAUUGAUCGGCAUGGUGCUAUAGUGAAGGACGUUUUUGCUGUCACUUAUACAUGCAUCCUAUCAGCAUUAGCGAGGUGGUAUGGUAACGGCUUACCAAGACAACUAUGCGUAGUCGGCUUGUGAGGGUGAUAGGCCGCACGGUAACUGAGACACGGUCCAGCGUCCUACGGGAGGCAGCAGUAGGGAAUCUUCCGCAAUGGGCGAAAGCCUGACGGAGCAACGCAGCGUGAGUGAUGAAGGUCUUCGGAUCGUAAAACUCUGUUAUUAGGGAAGAAAAAGUGUGUAAGUAACUAUGCACGUCUUGAGGGUACCUGAUCAGAAAGCCACGGCUAACUACGUG